UAUAGCUCAAUUGGUAGAGUGCCUGCCUCACAGGCACAAGGCCCUGGGUUCAAUCCUAGUA
Molecule: transfer RNA, 61 nt
Filed under: Ictidomys tridecemlineatus (thirteen-lined ground squirrel)
Lineage: Eukaryota; Metazoa; Chordata; Mammalia; Rodentia; Sciuridae
Description: Spermophilus tridecemlineatus (thirteen-lined ground squirrel) tRNA
Rfam family: tRNA
About the family: Transfer RNA (tRNA) molecules are approximately 80 nucleotides in length. Their secondary structure includes four short double-helical elements and three loops (D, anti-codon, and T loops).
Source: Rfam by way of RNAcentral